GAAAGAUCUCAGGUAUUGGUAUUUCUGAUUAUUUUAUUUGGUUUAAUGUAGUAAUCGAUGAAUUUGUGUGUUUUGACACACGAUUGGUGAUUUGGUCAUUUCGGCGUUGUUUAUUAAGGGACUAUGUAACUGGUUUUCACAAGAGGAAGAAAAAGAGAAGAAAGGAAGCCCAAAAGAAGCAAGAGGAGGCCUUGCGGCGCAAGCGUAUCGAGGAGCGCAAAAAGGUAUAUAUAUCCAUUGUUUCUUACGUUUAUGCUUGCAAUUGAUAGUUUUAUGUAGCAUCAAAAUGGGAUAUCUGUUGUUGCUGGCAAUAGUGAGUAUAUUAAUGUCACUGUAUGAAGUAUGAUACAGUAGGCGGCCUUUUUUCGAAGCUAUUAAUAUUGAUAACGCCAAACUGCUAGUUUAUGGUGAAAAACUAGAAAUUUCGGGUUUCGUUUCAUGGUCAUUAAAUUGAUAUUGUUUGAUAAGCUGUCACCACUAGUGCUUUGUUCUUAAAUCUUAAGAAGUUUUGAUUGCGUUUGGGUGCAAAUGUAUGGGUUUUUAAUGUAAUUGGCAUAUGGUUGACCUGUUAAUUGGGAGCAAGUUUUUUUUUUUAAGAAGGUUAAGGUUUGUGAGGGUUUUUAAAGGUUUUCAAAACCUCAAAAAUUAUGACUUUUUCAACCUUUGGUGAGUUGGGGAGGUUUUGAUGGGAAAUAAAAUUUUCAUUAUCUAUAUUGUCUUCAGUGCGUUUUAAAAUUCUAAAUUUGUCCUUAUUUAAAUAUUAAAACAUAUAUCUUCACACAAUAAAAGUAUUUAUGCAAUUUUUACACUUUACUUUACCUUUUCAUGCCUUCCAUUAAAGAAGUUACUAAACCAUCAUGUACCAUACUUUCCUCUCAAACAAGAUGGAGUUAAAUAUUUUAUCGUACUAUAUUUUAAAAAAUCGUACCUUACUUCUUUCACUCCUCCCAAUCAGAAAUAUCAGAUGAACCAAGGAAAUAGUAGUUGAAGAAUUGCUUAUUCCAUCAGGCUGCGUUUCAGAGAAUGGCAUUAAUAAAUAUGUUGUUUUUUUCAAAAGAUAGAUAAUGGAACUCAAAGUGAUAUAGUCUUUUGCAGGGAACCCACAGUGUUCUUUUUAUGUUUUAAUAGAUUUUGAUAGUCAGAUGAAAACCUGAGAUUCUCUAUUUGUUUGAAGGUACAAACAUUGGCCAGGUGAGUAUGUAACAUGCAUGUGUGCAUGUACUUAGCUUGUAUACAAGAAUAUAUUUCCAACUAAAGAAAUUACAUAAUGGCAAGCAGCUUCAGUUUGUGUACUUUCUGUUCACUAAUUUUGCACUUGGUGUUGAGAAAGCAGAUAGUACCCUGGUGAUACUUUGGCAUCCUUUAAAUUAUAGUUUUGGCCAGAUUGCAAAUGCUGAAUGAGUAUUUGCACAUUGUUUUUGGAGAUCUUUGGUAGAAUCUUCUGUUUGGGUUUGGUUUGUCCCCAUGAAAUUAGUGAGAUUCAAGAGAAAACUAAUCCUCUUUUGACAUCAGAAGGAAAAAAAUUGCCUGAAAUUUGUUAAAAAUGAAUACCUGUGAGAGGUAUAUCUAAUUCUGCCACCAGCUCCUUCAAGGUUUCUAGGUUUUUUUUUUUUUUUUUCUUCCUUGUCAUAAUCCUUCCCAAUCAGAUCAAUUCGCUAUCUUAUGUAGUUAUUGAACCUUUUUCAAUAAAAAUUUCUGAAGCAAGUGAAGAUAGUUUAUCAAAGGGUGUGAAGUUUAUCAAAGGGUGUGAGUGAAAUCCUUCUAUCAUAUUUUUUAUUACUUUAUUGCUGAAUUUGCCUAUGUUAUAUUUCAUAUGGCACUGCAAUGUAUCAAUUGCUUGCAUUUAAUCGAACAGAAUUUCUUGAGUUUUCAUUGUUUUAACCUUGCUGCCUGACAUUUGUUGUAGAGGAAGCUGGAAAGAGAACUCGUGUUAUAUGGAGAAGCUCCACCAGCAUCUGUUGGUGGUGAUGAGUAUAAUGAGGAUGGUGAAGAAAGUGAACCAAUUGCAUCAGUCAAUGGGACAAUGGAAUAUGACAAUGGGGACAUGAAAGUCACUGUGACAACUACUGAGAUUUCUCGAGAAGAUAAGGAUGACCACGGUGGAAAGAUGCAAACAGCAGUGCCAAUGCCAAGAUUGGCUGGAGAUGAUAAGAAGCACAAUUUAUCUGUUAGCAAAAAGAAAUCAUUUAAGAAAGUCUCAAAGCACAACUCGAGGUCAAAGCCACAUAAUAAAAGAGAUAGAAGGAAGGGAAAGAAAAAGAACAAGAAGUGGUAAUUGUCCUCCUGCCAAAUGAAUUGUGGAUGUGAAUAGAGAACAUAACUAGCACAAUUGUUGAGUGCAUCCUGCUAGGCCAUUUAAACUUAAAGUCAUAUUCAUAGUUUGGCAAUUUGAAGGGUAGGUGAUGUUCGCUCAUGGUAUCGAGUGAUAUAUUCUUUGCCAACAGUUCAUUAAAUUUUGAAUCGGGUGUAUUUGAACAGUUUCUGUUGUGAAUUCUUUUUGUACACUUCUUUUAAUGUCAUGCCAAACUGGCAGUAGUUAUGGUUUAAUUACAAUAUGCUUUCUUCAAUGUUUUCUUGCAAUUGAUUUCUGACGCAUGUUUCAUGCCUUGCCUUGUCUUCCAAUGUAAUAAUUCUUGGAGUUUGGGUGAAUUUGUGAGAGAUGUUAGGGAUAAUCAUGCUGUUAUUGUCCAAUUUGACUUGGUUUGCCUUGUAUUUGUCUUGUAUUAAGUACAAGCUGUCAUAUGCAGAACAGUGAGCGGGGUAAUGGUGUAUGGUUCUGUGCUGAUGGCACAUGUAUU
This 2798-nucleotide unclassified non-coding RNA is filed under the name Hevea brasiliensis (rubber tree). The record is from RNAcentral. Lineage: Eukaryota; Viridiplantae; Streptophyta; Magnoliopsida; Malpighiales; Euphorbiaceae.